GACGUAGGGGGCAAACGUUGCUCGGAAUUACUGGGCGUAAAGGGUGUGUAGGUGGCUGAGUAAGUCAAAGAUGAAAUCCCAAGGCUCAACCUUGGAAUUGUUUUUGAAACUGCUCAGCUUGAGGAUAGUUGAGGAGGAUGGAAUUCCCGGUGGAGCGGUGAAAUGCGUAGAUAUCGGGAGGAACACCAGAGGCGAAGGCGAUUCUCUGAACUAUUCCUGACACUGAGACACGAAAGCUAGGGGAGCAAACGGG
RNAcentral lists this ribosomal RNA (253 nucleotides) under uncultured prokaryote. RNAcentral's name for it is "partial 16S ribosomal RNA". It matches the Rfam family "Bacterial small subunit ribosomal RNA", at positions 524 to 776 of the family's 1533-position model. The record is from RNAcentral.